This 261-nucleotide transfer-messenger RNA is filed under the name Candidatus Tremblayella princeps. Its description in RNAcentral is "Candidatus Tremblaya princeps tmRNA". It matches the Rfam family "transfer-messenger RNA". From Rfam's summary of the family: Bacterial tmRNA, also known as 10Sa RNA or SsrA, is named for its dual tRNA and mRNA-like properties. Its role is to liberate the mRNA from a stalled ribosome. Lineage: Bacteria; Pseudomonadati; Pseudomonadota; Betaproteobacteria. The record is from RNAcentral.
GGGGAUGACUGGAUUCGACACGGGGCAAGGGAUGGGGCGCCAUGCCGAGCAGCCCUACGUUAGGGGCACGAAAGGUGCACCAAGUAAGAGGUUCACCAUGUUGAUUAACGACAGCAAGUUCGCGUUGGUCGGAAGAGCCGCGGUAUAGUGCGCAGAUACACUGAAGGACUAGGCUGACGGGUCAUAGUGCGACGGUAAACAAAGCAUGUUGUGCACCCCAUCCCUCUCCGCUGGACGUGGGUUCGAGUCCCACCAUCUCCA